GCCAAUAUUUAUUAGACCCACUAAUGUUAGCAUAUUCCAUAGAAAAUACGUUACUCAACGGGUCACUUUCGUUGAUAAACCAAGAGUCAAUAUUUAUCAAUUAAAAUAUUCGAUCUACCUUCUGCGCAGUCACAGCCCCUCGUUGCUUUCAUUGGUCUUUUUUGGUAAGUUCGUUGUUCUCAUUGCUGCUUCUCUCUGAAAUGCUUACUGAACUCUCUCAUGGACUCUGUUAUAAUAAAGCCAACAUUUAGCUCUCUCUCUUUCAAUUCCAUGAGCAUCAAAACCAAAACUUUCUACCCAGCACACUCUUCCUUCGUUAAAUUCAGUCAGUUUAGUAAGUUCAAAACCUCUUCAGUCAUCUCUUUUUCUUUCAAAAAGAACCCUUCAAAUCCCGAAAACCCUGGACCAAAAUCUAAUAAAAAUAACAGUAGGAAUUUCCCUUUAAGCCCUUUAUGUAUUUUCUUUCCGAUUUUACAGUCUAUCAAAGGUUUAGCCUCUUCACAUACUCAGAAAUGGGUUUCACGUCUGCAAGCAUAUAACAAUGAGUUAGAAAGUAUCUUAGAUUUACCCAAGAGUAACCAUUACUUAAAAAACGGGGCGUUUGGGGUCGCUUUAUUAAGCGUGACUUCGACUGCAAAAGUCAAAAUCAGUCCUUUUGUGACCACACUGGCUGCGAAUCCCACAUUUGUAUCUGGUUUGUUUGCCUGGAUUGUAGCACAAUCCGCAAAGAUGGCUUUGAAUUUCUUUGUGGAGAGAAAAUUGGAUUUUAGAUUACUAUUUGCCUCUGGAGGAAUGCCUUCUUCUCACUCCGCUUUAUGUACGGCUUUGACGACGUCAGUGGCGCUUUGUCAUGGAGCGGCAGAUUGCUUAUUUCCUGUUUGUUUGGGGUUUAGUUCCAUUGUUAUGUAUGAUGCCAUUGGUGUUCGACGCCAUGCUGGGAUGCAAGCUGAGCAUACCUCUCUGAGCUAAAAGGAAAGAUAUCCUUACUACCCAGGGACCUACAUUCCUAUAAUAUAUCUGGAAGUCUGAGGCCCAUUUUCGGUGGGGCUUAUACUGGAUUUAUAUUUAUCACAUACUUGAGUGGAGUCCCCAUUCUUUCCUGGUGGAGAAUUGAUGCAACCUUUUGGCGUCCUAAAGCUCUCCUAGAAGUUGGGAACUGUCCUAUUGGAACUGACUUGGGUUGGAAAGCUACUGGAAAUGCUUUGGUUUGUCCUAUUUUCAUCCUCCUAGGUCUUUGGUUUUGGUCUUAUUUUUGUUGGUUUCAACUAUUUUGUUUUGGUGUUUCAUUUAGGCUGGGGAAAUGAGUGAGAUUGCCAAAACACUAUAGACUGUGGCUGCCUUUUUUGCGUUUUGGUUGUUUGUAACUAGAAACACCUUAUCUUACCGUCUCCUGUCAUGCUGUCUGGAAAAUACCUAUGUGAAUGGGUUUUUAAAUUGUUAAAUAGGGUACUACAGAAAUGAUUUGUGGGAAAAUUUUACAGUUAAGUUCAUAUGGUUUCCACUGAAAUCCCCUCAUCACACAAAUUUGUUAAGGUUCUUAAUAUGAUCGUUGAGGACUUGUUUCAAGGUCAUCCCAUCAGUCAAAGAAAGCUCAAAGAGCUUCUAGGCCAUACUCCAUUACAGGUCUUUGCUGGAGCUGUGGUUGGUAUCUUGGUCGCCUGUAUAUGUUG
Molecule: RNA transcript, 1670 nt
Organism: Mangifera indica (mango)
Lineage: Eukaryota; Viridiplantae; Streptophyta; Magnoliopsida; Sapindales; Anacardiaceae
Exons: 3
Source: RefSeq, a predicted model, not a curated record